AGUAAUGUCUGGGAAACUGCCUGAUGGAGGGGGAUAACUACUGGAAACGGUAGCUAAUACCGCAUAACGUCGCAAGACCAAAGAGGGGGACCUUCGGGCCUCUUGCCAUCAGAUGUGCCCAGAUGGGAUUAGCUAGUAGGUGGGGUAACGGCUCACCUAGGCGACGAUCCCUAGCUGGUCUGAGAGGAUGACCAGCCACACUGGAACUGAGACACGGUCCAGACUCCUACGGGAGGCAGCAGUGGGGAAUAUUGCACAAUGGGCGCAAGCCUGAUGCAGCCAUGCCGCGUGUAUGAAGAAGGCCUUCGGGUUGUAAAGUACUUUCAGCGGGGAGGAAGGUGUUGUGGUUAAUAACCACAGCAAUUGACGUUACCCGCAGAAGAAGCACCGGCUAACUCCGUGCCAGCAGCCGCGGGUAAUACGGAGGGUGCAAGCGUUAAUCGGAAUUACUGGGCGUAAAGCGCACGCAGGCGGUCUGUCAAGUCGGAUGUGAAAUCCCCGGGCUCAACCUGGGAACUGCAUUCGAAACUGGCAGGCUAGAGUCUUGUAGAGGGGGGGUAGAAUUCCAGGUGUAGCGGUGAAAUGCGUAGAGAUCUGGAGGAAUACCGGUGGCGAAGGCGGCCCCCUGGACAAAGACUGACGCUCAGGUGCGAAAGCGUGGGGAGCAAACAGGAUUAGAUACCCUGGUAGUCCACGCCGUAAACGAUGUCGACUUGGAGGUUGUGCCCUUGAGGCGUGGCUUCCGGAGCUAACGCGUUAAGUCGACCGCCUGGGGGAGUACGGCCGCAAGGUUAAAAACUCAAAUGAAUUGACGGGGGGGCCCGCACAAGCGGUGGAGCAUGUGGUUUUAAAUUCGAUGCAACGCGAAGAACCUUACCUACUCUUGACAUCCAGAGAACUUUCCAGAGAUGGAUUGGUGCCUUCGGGAACUCUGAGACAGGUGCUGCAUGGCUGUCGUCAGCUCGUGUUGUGAAAUGUUGGGUUAAGUCCCGCAACGAGCGCAACCCUUAUCCUUUGUUGCCAGCGGUCCGGCCGGGAACUCAAAGGAGACUGCCAGUGAUAAACUGGAGGAAGGUGGGGAUGACGUCAAGUCAUCAUGGCCCUUACGAGUAGGGCUACACACGUGCUACAAUGGCGCAUACAAAGAGAAGCGACCUCGCGAGAGCAAGCGGACCUCAUAAAGUGCGUCGUAGUCCGGAUUGGAGUCUGCAACUCGACUCCAUGAAGUCGGAAUCGCUAGUAAUCGUAGAUCAGAAUGCUACGGUGAAUACGUUCCCGGGCCUUGUACACACC
RNAcentral lists this ribosomal RNA (1293 nucleotides) under Enterobacter sp. RNAcentral's name for it is "bacterial SSU rRNA". It matches the Rfam family "Bacterial small subunit ribosomal RNA", at positions 109 to 1391 of the family's 1533-position model. Lineage: Bacteria; Pseudomonadati; Pseudomonadota; Gammaproteobacteria; Enterobacterales; Enterobacteriaceae. The record is from RNAcentral.